Glycine soja is the source of this 1710-nucleotide long non-coding RNA. RefSeq lists it as uncharacterized. NCBI's taxonomy places the organism in Eukaryota, Viridiplantae, Streptophyta, Magnoliopsida, Fabales, Fabaceae. The record is from RefSeq and is a predicted model, not a curated record. The transcript is spliced from 5 exons.
UUGUAAAUACAGAAUUUUUCAACAAAGACGAUUUUACAAAAAUCAUCUUAAAAGACUAUCAUUCUAAGAUGGUUAGAAGUGAAUGGUUGUCAUCUCAGGGCUUUGAAGCCCUUUUUCCUUUCGCUCUCGCGAAAUCCAGCAGUGCCUAUACUCACACAGUCACAAACCCUAACAAUGACACCACCACAUUUUCUUGCUUCUCCUCCCUUUAGCCAUGCCCGAAUCACGUGACUGUCGCGUAACCAUCAUUGACCUUGCCACCUCCUUAUCCCGCUUGUGUCCCAUUUAUCUACAUUGACGCUCCAACUCUUUGUACCCCCCCCCCCCCCAAGAACCGCCGCCCUCAAUAGCGGAAGAGCUUGUGCUUGUCCCGACUCCCAAAACAUACCACAAUCUACUGUGUGACAUGGUAAAGGAUGUGUUCUGUUACGCUGCGUGCUUCCGACGUGGUACCCUAGGAUCCAAUUCUUCUACUCUUUUCUUCAUCACAGAUAGCUUGACUUUAGCAUUUUACUUGUGAAGUAAUAUAAUCCAAACAAGCUUCAACAACAUUCUUUCUGCUCAACAAGUCUUCAAUUUCAAUCAGUGAUCUUCACCUUUCUCUCUGCCUCAUCUCCCUUUAAUUCAGGUGCUAUGUGAUAGACCCCCUGGUCAUGAUUGGGAAACUAGAUAUGCUUGCUGAGCAAACAAAACAUUGGAGAUGUUAAGACAAAGUACAUGGGAGUUCUUAGAGUAUGAAUGCUCUUGCCUCUUGCUCAAGGAGGAAAAUGCUUUCGAGGCAAAGAAUGCAUUUCAACAAGACUCAAAAUCUACUGUCUCAAAUUAGCAGAGGAGCUUGGGGUGAUAGUUCCUAACCCAUGGGUUACUUGCUUUAAGGCGGCUAGUUUACCUGCCAUUGUUUGUCUUCUUAUGCCAUUGAUUUUGUACAAGCUCUAUCCCCCUGAAAUCAAAGACACACCAGAGGCUCCUGCCCUGGCUGCCAAGAAACUGGAAAGUAUGGGCCUUGUCAUUAAAAACGAAUGGAUUAUGGUCGGCACAAUGCUUCUUGCAGUGUCUUUAUGGAUCUUUGGACACUAUCAGCAUAGCAAGUGCUGUAGCUGCAAUGAUUGGUUUAUCAAUACUCCUCCUAUUAGGAGUCCUUGACUGGAAUAACUGUUGGAAUGAAAAAUCAGCAUGGGAUACCUUAGCUUGGUUUGCCAUUUUGGUAGGUAUGGCAAGCCAGUUGACAAACCUUGGUUAUGUGAGCUGGAUGUCUGAUUGUGUGGCCAACAACCUUCGGUCAUUCUCUUUGAGCUGGCCGGCUUCAGUAGCUGUUCUUCAGGCAGCUUAUUUCUUCAUCCACUACCUUUUUGCAAGUCAGACUGGACACGUGGGGGCUUUAUACUCCGCAGUUCUUGCCAUGCAUAAGGCAGGUGGUGUUCCUGGUAUUUUGGCAGCCCUUGCUUUAGGUUAUAAUACAAAUCUUUUUGGUGCAAUAACACUAUAGUAGCCACCCCUAUUGAAUUGGCAAACGUCAGAGAACUCCUUAUGAACUAUGAUGUUUUUAGUUUCCUUUAUUUUCCUUGUUACAACUUACAAGCUUUAUUUUAUUUUAAUUUUAAUUAUAUUUUUUUCUCUUUGAUUCUGUUUCUAGUCCAAGCUAUAUUUAAUAUUCUCUUGUUAAUAUAUUUGAGGUUCUUUCUUCAUGAAAUGAAAAUUUGGUCUUUCAUA